GGGCCACCACGAGGAGUGGAGCCUGCGUUUUAAUUUGACUCAACACGGAAAAACUUACCCGGCCCGGACACUGGGAGGAUUGACAGAUUGAUAGCUCUUUCUUGAUUGGGUGGGUGGUGGUGCAUGGCCGUUCUUAGUUGGGGGAGCGAUUUGUCUGAUUAAUUCCGAUAACGACCGAGACCCUAGCCUGCUAACUAGACUGUCACUUACCUCCUUGUAAGUCACAGGACUUCUUCGAGGGCCAGGCCCGCGACUCAACCAAAAGAAACAAAGCAAUUCCAAGUUUGUCUUGCCUUUAGGGUCCGGGGCCGAAGCGCGCUAGAUCGACGUGAUCAGCCUGCCAUAAUCAACCAGAAUAGGUACACCGGGAGACCCCACCAACAUUCUUCGUGAUGGGAUCUAGUAUUGCCAUUAAUGCGCGUGAACCAUGAAAUCCCCGGAAGUCUGGUCAUAAGAUCACGAUGAUUAUGCGCCCGCCCUAUGUACCAACUACCCGUGAUACUACCGAGCGAUUGACAU
This 519-nucleotide ribosomal RNA is filed under the name uncultured eukaryote. RNAcentral describes it as "bacterial SSU rRNA". It matches the Rfam family "Eukaryotic small subunit ribosomal RNA", at positions 1162 to 1699 of the family's 1831-position model. The record is from RNAcentral.